GAUGAACGCUGGCGGCGUGCCUAAUACAUGCAAGUCGAGCGAACGGACGAGAAGCUUGCUUCUCUGAUGUUAGCGGCGGACGGGUGAGUAACACGUGGAUAACCUACCUAUAAGACUGGGAUAACUUCGGGAAACCGGAGCUAAUACCGGAUAAUAUUUUGAACCGCAUGGUUCAAAAGUGAAAGACGGUCUUGCUGUCACUUAUAGAUGGAUCCGCGCUGCAUUAGCUAGUUGGUAAGGUAACGGCUUACCAAGGCAACGAUGCAUAGCCGACCUGAGAGGGUGAUCGGACACACUGGAACUGAACCACGGUACAGACUCCUACGGGAGGCAGCAGUAGGGAAUCUUACGCAAUGGGCGAAAGCCUGACGGAGCAACGCCGCGUGAGUGAUGAAGGUCUUCGGAUCGUAAAACUCUGUUAUUAGGGAAGAACAUAUGUGUAAGUAACUGUGCACAUCUUGACGGUACCUAAUCAGAAAGCAACGGCUAACUACGUG
Molecule: ribosomal RNA, 497 nt
Filed under: uncultured bacterium
Lineage: Bacteria
Description: partial 16S ribosomal RNA
Rfam family: Bacterial small subunit ribosomal RNA
Source: RNAcentral